RNAcentral lists this small RNA (124 nucleotides) under Marmota monax (woodchuck). Lineage: Eukaryota; Metazoa; Chordata; Mammalia; Rodentia; Sciuridae. The record is from RNAcentral.
GCUGGUUGUGGUGGUGCCUGCCUGUAAUCCCAGCAGCUUGGGAGGCUGAGGCAGGAGGAUCGUGAGUUCAAGCCAGCCUCAGCAACAGCAAGGUGCUAAGCAACUCAGUGAGACCCUGUCUCUA